This 462-nucleotide long non-coding RNA is filed under the name Sarcophilus harrisii (Tasmanian devil). RNAcentral describes it as "lncRNA (ENSSHAG00000021857.1)". The record is from RNAcentral. Lineage: Eukaryota; Metazoa; Chordata; Mammalia; Dasyuromorphia; Dasyuridae.
CCCCCCUCAAGUGGAGCACCUUCAGGGGAUGGGUUUGGGCACUUUCAGCUCUCACUAGCUGGGGUGAGAGGGAAGGUGGGGGGAGGCCAAAUUGCUGCUCUUGAGGUGCAUUUCUAUAGGAGGAGUGAUCUUGCAAUGUCAGGGCUUUCAAUUAAAAGAAGAAGAAAAAAAAAAAAAAAGGCAGACAGUUCUGGCUGCCUGCGGCUCUGGACUCCCCCGGCAACAUCUCAGUGCAGGGACCCAGCUGACAUUUCUCAUUUCAGCGCCUGCCUCCUCAGCAGCAGUCUGCAAGUUGGCCAGCUCCAGAGAAGAGUCUGGGACCCACCAGCCAGCCACACUGAGCAGCUUUGCAGAGCCCAAGGACAGAGAUCUCCAGAGAGAACAUCGCCUUCCAGCCCCUGGCAAAGGAAAGGAGGAUGCCUUCCAGUUGGAGAGGAGAGAUGGGAAGGGACCCAAAUCUAA